RNAcentral lists this non-coding RNA (128 nucleotides) under Phascolarctos cinereus (koala). The record is from RNAcentral. Lineage: Eukaryota; Metazoa; Chordata; Mammalia; Diprotodontia; Phascolarctidae.
GUGUUAUGUGAAACAAGAAGAGGUUAGUGAUCCCCCUGAUGAGAAUGGAAGAGGUCCUAGCUGCCUUUACAUUACAUAUAUGGUGAAGGCAUUGCCAUCCACUUUAUGGCAUCUAAUUAUGUUUCAUC